This 104-nucleotide microRNA precursor is filed under the name Canis lupus familiaris (dog). Its description in RNAcentral is "mir-8834 microRNA precursor family". It matches the Rfam family "mir-8834 microRNA precursor family". RNAcentral also lists the same sequence under 1 other name. The record is from Rfam by way of RNAcentral. Lineage: Eukaryota; Metazoa; Chordata; Mammalia; Carnivora; Canidae.
AGGAGCAACCCCAGUGGGGGCAGCCAGCUCUGGAGCCCUGGAUUCAGCUCCCGCAGUAACUAUGGAGGUCUCAGUCUGUAGGGGCGUGGAUGCUCCAGGGUCGG